This 253-nucleotide ribosomal RNA is filed under the name uncultured bacterium. Its description in RNAcentral is "partial 16S ribosomal RNA". It matches the Rfam family "Bacterial small subunit ribosomal RNA", at positions 524 to 776 of the family's 1533-position model. The record is from RNAcentral.
UACAGAGGUCCCGAGCGUUGUUCGGAUUCACUGGGCGUAAAGGGUGCGUAGGUGGCUGGGGAAGUUUGAUGUGAAAGCUCAGGGCUUAACCCUGAAAUGGCAUUGAAUACUGCCUGGCUGGAGGUUUGGAGGGGGGACUGGAAUUCUUGGUGUAGCAGUGAAAUGCGUAGAUAUCAAGAGGAACACCAGUGGCGAAGGCGAGUCCCUGGACAACACCUGACACUGAGGCACGAAAGCCGGGGGAGCAAACAGG